Molecule: ribosomal RNA, 89 nt
Filed under: Vibrio alginolyticus
Lineage: Bacteria; Pseudomonadati; Pseudomonadota; Gammaproteobacteria; Vibrionales; Vibrionaceae
Also listed under: 4 other names
Description: partial 16S ribosomal RNA
Rfam family: Bacterial small subunit ribosomal RNA
Source: RNAcentral
AAAUUGAAGAGUUUGAUCAUGGCUCAGAUUGAACGCUGGCGGCAGGCCUAACACAUGCAAGUCGAGCGGAAACGAGUUAUCUGAACCUU